RNAcentral lists this ribosomal RNA (271 nucleotides) under uncultured bacterium. Its description in RNAcentral is "partial 16S ribosomal RNA". It matches the Rfam family "Bacterial small subunit ribosomal RNA", at positions 88 to 354 of the family's 1533-position model. The record is from RNAcentral.
CCGGCGACCGGCGCACGGGUGAGUAACACGUAUGCAACCUGCCCUCCGCAGGGGGAUAACCCGGAGAAAUCCGGACUAAUACCGCGUGGUACAUCUGUGGGGCAUCCCACGGGUGUUAAAAGGAAGCGAUUCCGGCGGAGGAUGGGCAUGCGGCGCAUUAGCUAGACGGCGGGGUAACGGCCCACCGUGGCGACGAUGCGUAGGGGUUCUGAGAGGAAGGUCCCCCACACUGGUACUGAGACACGGACCAGACUCCUACGGAAGGCAGCAG